Molecule: ribosomal RNA, 460 nt
Filed under: uncultured bacterium
Lineage: Bacteria
Description: partial 16S ribosomal RNA
Rfam family: Bacterial small subunit ribosomal RNA
Source: RNAcentral
CCUACGGGAGGCAGCAGUGAGGAAUAUUGGUCAAUGGACGAGAGUCUGAACCAGCCAAGUCGCGUGAAGGAUGACUGCCCUAUGGGUUGUAAACUUCUUUUAUAUGGGAAUAAAACGUUCCACGUGUGGGAUUUUGUAUGUACCAUAUGAAUAAGGAUCGGCUAACUCCGUGCCAGCCGCCGCGGUAAUACGGAGGAUCCGAGCGUUAUCCGGAUUUAUUGGGGUUAACGGGAGCGUAGGUGGAUUGUUAAGUUAGUUGUGAAAGUUUGCGGCUCAACCGUAAGAUUGCAGUUGAAACUGGCAGUCGUGAGUACAGUAGAGGUAGGCGGAAUUCGUGGUGUAGCGGUGAAAUGCUUAGAUAUCACGAAGAACUCCGAUUGCGAAGGCAGUUCACUGGACUGCAACUGACACUGAGGCUCGAAAGUGUGGGUAUCAAACAGGAUUAGAUACCCGAGUAGUC